RNAcentral lists this long non-coding RNA (2718 nucleotides) under Xyrichtys novacula (pearly razorfish). Lineage: Eukaryota; Metazoa; Chordata; Actinopteri; Labriformes; Labridae. The record is from RNAcentral.
GACGCAUGCGUGCUUCCGACAUGGGCGAGAGAAAAAAGGAGAGGCGAUCGGAGUAACAACAGAAAUGAAUGAGAGCGAAAGCGAACAGACCGCAGAUAUAUAUUACAGAGAGAUACACAGCGAAUUCAAUUCACCAUGGCCACUGCGUCUGUAAACAACGACACCAAGAAUGAGCCUGUCCCCAGAGAAGAGCUGGAAAACCCUCCCGCUUCAUACAGGUCUAAAGUGUGGAAAUAUUUUGGCUUCCCUGUACAUUAUGAGAGUGAGGGCUCUCGACGGGUCGUAAGUAAGACGCAUACUGUUUGUCGACUCUGCUAUAUGCGAGUGCCGUAUCCCUCCACAAGCAACACAACGAAUAUGGCACAGCAUCUCAGCCGUCACCACAAAGAUGUGAAAGAACCACAAAACCUGACGCAGCCCUCAAUCAAAGACGCCAUUAAGAAAAAAGAAAAGUUUGCACCAAAUUCGGCUCGCGCUAAGGACAUAAACAGCGCACUUGCUGUGAUGAUAGGAGCAGACAUGCGUCCGCUUUCAUUAGUACAGGGCCCUGGCUUUAGAUAUUUUUGCAGGGUUCUAGAACCACGCUGGCAAAUACCAAGCGGAUUUUAUGUGAGCACAACCUUGAUGCCAGAAUUGUAUGAGAAUGUGAAGGCUGAAAUUGUUGAAGGACUGAGCUGUGCUGAAUCCAUUGCCAUUACAACUGAUGGCUGGACCUCUAGAGCAACAGAAAGUUACAUCACAGUAACAGCACACUAUCUUAAUGAGAACUGGGAGAUGAAAAAUCAUGUCCUUCAAACUCUCCCAAUCUAUGAAUCCCACACAAGUGAGAAUUUGUCUGAUGUUCUGACAAAAGCUGCAGUGGAAUGGAAAUUAGAAAGACCAAAUACCAAGAUCCCUGUGACAACAGAUAAUGCCAAAAACGUUGUCAAUGCCACAAAGCAGGCUGGGAUGUCACCACAGAUAGGAUGUUUUGCACAUACAGUCAAUCUGGCAUCACAGAAGGGCUUGGACGUGAACCAGAUGAGCCGUAUUCUGUCCAAAAUCAGGAAGAUAGUGGCAUUUUUCCACCGCUGUACAACUGCAGCAGCAGUCUAUGGUGGCAAACAAAAAGAUCUCAAGCUGCCCGAUCACAAGCUAAUUCAUGAUGUUAAGACACGAUGGAACUCCAGCUAUGAAAUGAUUGAGCGCUACCUAGAGCAGCAGGCUGCAGUUUAUGCUGCACUCACAGAGGACAGCGUAAAGAAGAAUGUAAAAGACCUCAUCACCCUCACUGAUUCUGACAUUAAAGUCAUGGAGGCAGCGGUUGAGGUGCUGAAGCCCUUAAAAACAGUCACCACUACUCUGAGUUCUGAAAAACAGCCAACUGUAUCUCUGAUCCAUCCCCUCCAUCACACAAUCCUGACAUCUAUGAGACCCACUGGCACAGAUCCACCCACUGUGAGGGAUAUGAAGAAUGCCAUUGCAGCUAACUUCAAGGACAGAUAUUCAGACCCAGCAACUCAACAGUUCCUGAAACAGAGCACUGCACUAGAUCCUAGGUUCAAGUCCCUACCCCACCUGGAUGACCUCUCCCAGAGUGAGAUCUUCAAAAGUCUGACUGAGCAAAUCUUGCAGCAGCAUCCCACAGAGGUAUGUGCUAUAUUAAUUUUAACAAUAAUAAUUUAACUAAAAUGUAAUAUGUAUUUUUUUAUUGUUUUCAUUGACUUGUUUAAAACUAAACACUAUUCUUAAAUAUUUAAAGUCAUAUAAUUAUUUUUUAAUAUGUCAUGAUAAAAAAUAGCUCACCAAAGAUGUUGUCACAAAUGUCCUCAGUCAUAAUAGAGGCACACCUCAUUUAUUUUCUGUUUUGUGUUUCUGUAUUGUGUGACCUUUUAGGCCCAGGCCUCUGGAGAGGGCACCAGGGAGAGGAGCCCAGCAGAUGAUUCAGAAGCUGCAUCAACAUCUGCUCCCCCCAGCAAAGAAGACAGCACUCAGUGAACUGUUUGGCAAUUUCUUCAGCACAGCCCAGCCCCACCACACUACACCAGGAGCCCCCAUACCAUUUCCUCAGGUGGUAGAAGAGGAGAUUCAGCACUACAGGAACGCCAUCCUCACUGAAAUCAAUGAAGUGACUGGCCACACUCAACCAAUCACUGUUGAUUCAGAUCCCCUGAAGUGGUGGAAAAAGAAUGAGCAUGUGUACCCACACUUGGCAAAGCUUGCCAAACGUUAUCUUUCUGUUCAAGCAACCAGUGUUGCCAGUGAAAGAGUGUUCUCAACAGCAGGGGACCUCAUAACAGCUGAGAGGAGUUGCCUCUCUCCAGAAAAUGUGAACAAGCUCAUCUUCCUUAAGAAGAAUUUGCACAUAGAUAUAGAGCUUGAAUGAAUGGAAUGGCUUUGGCAUUAUUCACAUUUCAUGUUUGUAAAAGGAAAGCUCUCUGUUAGAAUAAUGUGAAUAAUACAGUAGUGGUCCAGUGGACUCACUGUGGAAGAAUUUGAAUUUGAGCCAAAUGUAGCCAAAUUACAUUGUUUGUUGGUCCUUUUUUCUUACAUGUUGUUCAACAUUAUUGGUUGAUUGAUUGUUACCUGAAAAUAACUGUUACAUCUUCUUAAAGAAGAAUUUGAAAAUGGAAGUUGUUAGGGCAUAAAACCCUAAGUUUAUAAUUUAUUUUAUAAUGUUUGUUUAUGUUAAACAUUGAAUUCUUCUCAUUUGUCAUUAAAGUGACUGAUUGAGAAAAA